AGUGAACGCUGGCGGUAGGCCUAACACAUGCAAGUCGAACGGCAGCACAGUAAGAGCUUGCUCUUACGGGUGUCGAGUGGCGGACGGGUGAGGAAUACAUCGGAAUCUACUUUUUCGUGGGGGAUAACGUAGGGAAACUUACGCUAAUACCGCAUACGACCUACGGGUGAAAGCAGGGGAUCUUCGGACCUUGCGCGAUUGAAUGAGCCGAUGUCGGAUUAGCUAGUUGGCGGGGUAAAGGCCCACCAAGGCGACGAUCCGUAGCUGGUCUGAGAGGAUGAUCAGCCACACUGGAACUGAGACACGGUCCAGACUCCUACGGGAGGCAGCAGUGGGGAAUAUUGGACAAUGGGCGAAAGCCUGAUCCAGCCAUACCGCGUGGGUGAAGAAGGCCUUCGGGUUGUAAAGCCCUUUUGUUGGGAAAGAAAAGCAGCAGGUUAAUACCGCGCUGUUCUGACGGUACCCAAAGAAUAAGCACCGGCUAACUUCGUG
This 492-nucleotide ribosomal RNA is filed under the name uncultured bacterium. Its description in RNAcentral is "partial 16S ribosomal RNA". It matches the Rfam family "Bacterial small subunit ribosomal RNA", at positions 29 to 507 of the family's 1533-position model. The record is from RNAcentral.